Molecule: long non-coding RNA, 1038 nt
Filed under: Chinchilla lanigera (long-tailed chinchilla)
Lineage: Eukaryota; Metazoa; Chordata; Mammalia; Rodentia; Chinchillidae
Description: lncRNA (ENSCLAG00000024807.1)
Source: RNAcentral
GAAGCAAGAGCAUAGUGUGGAGGCUUCGGCAUUGACCAUGAGAGAGGACGUCAGGGAUACAACCCAGAAAAGGAAAAGAGGAAGUGGUAACCAAGUGCUCUCCUCAAGAGGAGGUGGCCCAUUCCCUGCAGACUCCCUGAAUUAGCAGGGGAGGAGCUGGAGGUGGCUGGGAAUGCUGUAGCUGCUGCCAAGGAGACAGUCAGAAAGUACUGUUUUGUCGUGGAGUUAUUGAGAACCAACGUGAUCUGGCCCUGAGAAAUGCCACUUAAGGACUGCUUUUUUAAAAAUAGUUGAAUCAUUUAAAGCACAGAGAAUGCUUGUUUAAAUCUACUUCUGAUAGUUUCCGGGAACACUGAAUUUGCCCGGCAGCCCUGUGGAGGAACCCCAUCACUGUCGGGAAUGAGUGAGUCGUAGACAAGAGACAGGAGCUGCUUUUCCAGCCGCGGAUCAACCAUUCGAGAAUAUUUAUUAGGAACUGAUUCCAAGCUUUCAUUGUGCUUGGGGCAGGUUUACUUAAAGAAAAAAAAUGUGGUUGUCAUGGAAACUGAAGACAACUCCAGUCCUCCCCGGAUCUACAAGCCCUCUGGCCAAAGGACAGCCUCCAGACAAAGAGCCGUGGAGCUUCAGCACUAUUCUAAGGCCAGAUUUCUGGCUGUGGGUGUGACUGCCACCAUCACAUUCCGGUUCUGCCCUGUGCCGUGCAGUCAGGACCUUGCUGAUGCAGAGGAAGAUACGGGCUCCAGCAGGCGCCACCCCUCAAGGUCCCAGGACCACUGUGAGAAGCAGUCAAAGAACAUGGCUAUCGUCACCCCACAGUUCCGGGUGAGGAAACUGAGGCCCAGACUGGUCAAGUGGCACUUUCAACCUCACUCACAGAACUGGGUAACCAAAAAGGGUUCUGGAGUUUACUUCCCCCAACUCCUCACUUAGUACGCGCUUUAUGAAGUCCUGCUACCUCUCUGUGAGGGGCAGCAGAGAGGCUGUGGCAAGCUGGGCUUCUCCAGGAAGCUCCUAUUCAGCCGCCACUGCUCACCCAGA